GAUGGUACAAAGGCCUGCGAGACCGCGAGGUUUANCCAAUCCCAUNAAACCAUUCUCAGUUCAGAUUGUAGGCUGCAACUCGCCUACAUGAAGCCGGAAUCGCUAGUAAUCGUGGAUCAGCAUGCCACGGUGAAUACGUUUCCCGGNUCUUGUACACACCGCCCGUCACACCACGAGAGUUUGUAACACCCGAAGUCGGUGGGGUAACCGCAAGGAGCCANCCGCCUAAGGUGGGACAGAUGAUUGGGGUGAAGUCGUAACAAGGUAGCC
This 270-nucleotide ribosomal RNA is filed under the name unidentified soil organism R6-25. RNAcentral describes it as "partial 16S ribosomal RNA". It matches the Rfam family "Bacterial small subunit ribosomal RNA", at positions 1233 to 1501 of the family's 1533-position model. The record is from RNAcentral.